This 85-nucleotide ribosomal RNA is filed under the name Disa densiflora. RNAcentral describes it as "partial 25S ribosomal RNA". It matches the Rfam family "Eukaryotic large subunit ribosomal RNA", at positions 1 to 82 of the family's 3401-position model. The record is from RNAcentral. RNAcentral also lists the same sequence under 8 other names. Lineage: Eukaryota; Viridiplantae; Streptophyta; Magnoliopsida; Asparagales; Orchidaceae.
GUGCGACCCCAGGAUGGGCGGGAUGACCCGCUGAGUUUAAGCAUAUCAAUAAGCGGAGGAGAGGAAACUUACGAGGAUUCCCCUA